AAUUCUAGAGCUAAUACAUGCAGCACGCUCUGAUUCCUUGUGAACAGAGCGCAGUUAUUAGAUCAAAAACCAAUCGACUUUACUUUCGGGUUUAGUCGCUCUUUUGGUGAAACUGAGUAACCACAGCAAACCGCAUGGCCUCGUGCUCGGCGGUCUGUCGGUCAAGUAACUGCCUUAUCAGCUUGUUGUUAGGUUACAUGCCUAACAAGGCGUCAACGGGUAACGAACGAUCGGGGUCGGACAUCGGAGAGGGAGCCUGAGAAACGGCUACCACUUCCAAGGAAGGCAGCAGGCGCGCAAAUUACCCACUCCCGGCACGGGGAGGUAGUGACGAAGCGUAUCGAUGCGGGGCCAUUAGUGCCUUCGUAAUCGGAAUGAGUACACUUUAAAUCCUUUAACGAGGACCUAUUGGAGGGCAAGUCUGGUGCCAGCAGCCGCGGUAAUUCCAGCUCCAAUAUCUUAUAUUAAUGCUGCUGCGGUUAAAAAGCUCGUAGUCGGAUCUGGGUUUUCGCCGGACACCAUAUGCAGCCUCGUGUUGUAUAUGUGUGUUAUACGUGCUGCUUCGGCAGUACUGCCAGUCUAGUUCUGUCUCUUUGUAGGCAAGCUAGGCUGGUCGGCGGAACCACGGGCCAAGCCGGGCGGUAUGCUCUUUACUGAGUGUACUGUCUGCUUGGUGCGUUUACUUUGAAAAAAUUGGAGUGCUCAAAGCAGGCGUACAGUCGCUAUGCGGCCGGAACAGUGGUGCAUGGAAUAAUGGAAUAGGACCUCGGUUCUAUUUUGUUGGUUUUAAGAAUUCGAGGUAAUGAUUAAGAGGGACAGACGGGGACAUUUGUAUUGCGACGUUAGAGGUGAAAUUCUUGGAUCGUCGCAAGAC
RNAcentral lists this ribosomal RNA (874 nucleotides) under Pseudechiniscus sp. 18 PG-2020. RNAcentral's name for it is "SSU rRNA". It matches the Rfam family "Eukaryotic small subunit ribosomal RNA", at positions 154 to 936 of the family's 1831-position model. The record is from RNAcentral. Lineage: Eukaryota; Metazoa; Tardigrada; Heterotardigrada; Echiniscoidea; Echiniscidae.